UUCAAACCUUCGUGAUGCCAUACCUGGGCGUUGUUUUCCACUGCCACCAAGCUCUAAUAUUUAGGAAUCAUCUACCAGGCACUAUUUUUGGACUGCAUGGCUGUACUGAUACUGGGACCACCCCUCCUCCCAGUGUCGUCGAUGGCCAUCCGGCGUACACGAAGGGGUGAUUUUGACCAGUGGGCUGCAUGGGGAUGAAGCCAGAUCAACUAAAGAUAUGGCUUCAGCUCCACUUUGACAACAUGCCAAACGCAUGCCUCCAGACAUUUACCAAGAUGUAUCUAAAAAUAAAUGAAGA
Molecule: long non-coding RNA, 298 nt
Organism: Oncorhynchus masou masou (cherry salmon)
Lineage: Eukaryota; Metazoa; Chordata; Actinopteri; Salmoniformes; Salmonidae
Exons: 3
Source: RefSeq, a predicted model, not a curated record